GUACUGAUGAAGAGUCCAAAACUAGGACGAGACAGCUGUCCAGUAC
Molecule: non-coding RNA, 46 nt
Organism: Trichobilharzia regenti
Lineage: Eukaryota; Metazoa; Platyhelminthes; Trematoda; Strigeidida; Schistosomatidae
Source: Rfam